UACGGGGGGGGCAAGCGUUGUUCGGAAUUACUGGGCGUAAAGGGCUCGUAGGCGGCCAACUAAGUCAGACGUGAAAUCCCUCGGCCUAACCGGGGAACUGCAUCUGAUACUGGAUGGCUUGAGUUCGGGAGAGGGAUGCGGAAUUCCAGGUGUAGCGGUGAAAUACGUAGAUAUCUGGAGGAACACCGGUGGCGAAGGCGGCAUUCUGGACUGCAACUGACACUGAAAGACGAAAGCCAGGGGAGCAAACGGG
Molecule: ribosomal RNA, 253 nt
Filed under: uncultured bacterium
Lineage: Bacteria
Description: partial 16S ribosomal RNA
Rfam family: Bacterial small subunit ribosomal RNA
Source: RNAcentral